RNAcentral lists this transfer RNA (72 nucleotides) under Rhipicephalus sanguineus (brown dog tick). Its description in RNAcentral is "transfer RNA alanine (anticodon CGC)". It matches the Rfam family "tRNA". From Rfam's summary of the family: Transfer RNA (tRNA) molecules are approximately 80 nucleotides in length. Lineage: Eukaryota; Metazoa; Arthropoda; Arachnida; Ixodida; Ixodidae. The record is from Rfam by way of RNAcentral.
GCCGCCGUAGCUCAGUGGUAGAGCAUCGGACGCGCUAUUCGAAGGUCGCAGGUUCGGUCCCUGCCGACGACA